This 467-nucleotide ribosomal RNA is filed under the name uncultured bacterium. RNAcentral describes it as "partial 16S ribosomal RNA". It matches the Rfam family "Bacterial small subunit ribosomal RNA", at positions 29 to 507 of the family's 1533-position model. The record is from RNAcentral.
ACGCACGCUGGCGGCGUGCUUAACACCUGCCAGUCGCACGGAAAGGCCCUGCUUUUGUGGGGUGCUCGAGUGGCGAACGGGUGAGUAACACGUGAGUAACCUGCCCUUGACUUUGGGAUAACUUCAGGAAACUGGGGCUAAUACCGGAUAGGAGCUCCUGCUGCAUGGUGGGGGUUGGAAAGUUUCGGCGGUUGGGGAUGGACUCGCGGCUUAUCAGCUUGUUGGUGGGGUAGUGGCUUACCAAGGCCUUGACGGGUAGCCGGCCUGAGAGGGUGACCGGCCACAUUGGGACUGAGAUACGGCCCAGACUCCUACGGGAGGCAGCAGUGGGGAAUAUUGCACAAUGGGCGGAAGCCUGAUGCAGCAACGCCGCGUGCGGGAUGACGGCCUUCGGGUUGUAAACCGCUUUCGCCUGUGACGAAGCGUGAGUGACGGUAAUGGGUAAAGAAGCACCGGCUAACUACGUG